Molecule: ribosomal RNA, 460 nt
Filed under: uncultured bacterium
Lineage: Bacteria
Description: partial 16S ribosomal RNA
Rfam family: Bacterial small subunit ribosomal RNA
Source: RNAcentral
CCUACGGGAGGCAGCAGUGAGGAAUAUUGGUCAAUGGACGAGAGUCUGAACCAGCCAAGUAGCGUGAAGGAUGACUGCCCUAUGGGUUGUAAACUUCUUUUAUAUGGGAAUAAAAUGUUCCACGUGUGGGAUUUUGUAUGUACCAUAUGAAUAAGGAUCGGCUAACUCCGUGCCAGCAGCCGCGGUAAUACGGAGGAUCCGAGCGUUAUCCGGAUUUAUUGGGUUUAAAGGGAGCGUAGGUGGAUUGUUAAGUCAGUUGUGAAAGUUUGCAGCUCAACCGUAAAAUUGCAGUUGAAACUGGCAGUCUUGAGUACAGUAGAGGUAGGCGGAAUUCGUGGUGUAGCGGUGAAAUGCUUAGAUAUCACGAAGAACUCCGAUUGCGAAGGCAGUUCACUGGACUGCAACUGACACUGAGGCUCGAGAGUGUGGGUAUCAAACAGGAUUAGAUACCCUUGUAGUC